CAGAACCUCAGCACCCAGCUCCAGACGCAGUGAGCGGAGAACUUGCUUGUCUCUGGCAUCCAUUUCUCCCUGGAAAGAGCCAAAAUCAGCACCUAGAUUUCAGGAGUGCUGACGGAGCACCUCAAAAUCAGUCAGGGCUUUACAUCUUAACAGAGUGUAGGGCCACGGUGCUUCCUAAAUGGCUGUUAAGCCAAACCACGUUAAUUUCUAACACUUCGCAGCAUAAUGAACAGCACUAGUUAUGAAUCCGUGUCUAUCUCUGCUUUCCGCAAUAAUGGAGUCCUAUUUCAACUCCUUGUGCAGUAAGAGAUCAGACAGAAAACAGGUCUGAUCCCUUACUUACAAUGCAGUCCCCUAGGGAUUAUAGAUUUAUUGAUCUAUUUAUUUAUAUUAUAUAAAAGUAAAUGCUAGAGAAUAGUGGGCUUCAAUUUUGCUUUGCCAGAGUUAGUCCAGCACCCACAACUGCAGAAACCACUUAAGAGACCAAGGACAUUAUAGACCCUGACCAGCAACGGGAGACAACCUGGAGGAGUUUAAGGAUCUUUCUUACGAAGAGAAAAAGUCACUACAGGAGCAGCACCUUCAAGAAAAUAAGUAUUUGUGUGUCUUUUACGAUAAGCCUUACAAGAAUUCGGAAUGUGCGCCGCAGCACGGCCCUGAGCACUCAUGCAUGGGACAUUUAAUGAGCUCAGGUCCUUGGUGUGCUGAGAGGUGGCUGUGUGGUGGCAAUGAGGUAAGUAGUGCAGAGAUACAGAGACCCAAAGGAGGCGGGCGGGGCUUCUGACACCUUCAGCCCACAGACGCAGGACUCCCGAUCCCAACAUUGCUCUGCAAAGUCGGGAGGUGGCAGGUGAGGAGGGCGUGUGUGACCAUAUUUGGCAACGUGUUUCCAUUUGGAACUUGUAAAAAGUUCCCCGUCUCGGCAGCUGAAAGCCGUGGUUGUGGCACAAACGGGAAGAGCUACCGGCGGUUUUCACGAGGCCUUCUGAUGAAGAUGUAGAACUCUCAGUUCCCCCUGCACCACGUCUGCCUGGAUGCCACCAUGUCCCUGCCUUGAUAAUAAUGGACUGAAACUCUGAACCUGUAGCCAGCUCCAAUUAAAAGUUGUCCUUUAAAAGA
Rattus norvegicus (Norway rat) is the source of this 1119-nucleotide long non-coding RNA. RefSeq lists it as uncharacterized. The record is from RefSeq and is a predicted model, not a curated record. Lineage: Eukaryota; Metazoa; Chordata; Mammalia; Rodentia; Muridae.